Molecule: ribosomal RNA, 253 nt
Filed under: uncultured bacterium
Lineage: Bacteria
Description: partial 16S ribosomal RNA
Rfam family: Bacterial small subunit ribosomal RNA
Source: RNAcentral
UACGAACUGUGCAAGCGUUAUUCGGAAUCACUGGGCUUAAAGGGUGCGUAGGCGGCUUGCCAAGUAGGGUGUGAAAGCCCCCGGCUUAACCGGGGAAUUGCGCCCUAAACUGGCGAACUGGAGUGAGAUAGGGGUGUGUGGAACUUCCGGUGGAGCGGUGAAAUGUGUUGAUAUCGGAAGGAACGCCGGUGGCGAAAGCGACACACUGGGUCUAAACUGACGCUGAGGCACGAAAGCCAGGGGAGCGAACGGG